This 253-nucleotide ribosomal RNA is filed under the name uncultured bacterium. RNAcentral's name for it is "partial 16S ribosomal RNA". It matches the Rfam family "Bacterial small subunit ribosomal RNA", at positions 524 to 776 of the family's 1533-position model. The record is from RNAcentral.
UACGGGGGGAGCAAGCGUUGUUCGGAUUUACUGGGCGUAAAGGGCGCGUAGGCGGCGCAACAAGUCACUUGUGAAAUCUCCGGGCUUAACCCGGAGCGGCCAAGUGAUACUGUCGUGCUAGAGUGCGGAAGGGGCUACUGGAAUUCUCGGUGUAGCGGUGAAAUGCGUAGAUAUCAGGAGGAACACCGGUGGUGUAGACGGCUUUCUGGACCGUAACUGACGCUGAGACACGAAAGCGUGGGUAGCAAACAGG